Molecule: ribosomal RNA, 527 nt
Filed under: Fusarium tricinctum
Lineage: Eukaryota; Fungi; Ascomycota; Sordariomycetes; Hypocreales; Nectriaceae
Description: eukaryotic LSU rRNA
Rfam family: 5.8S ribosomal RNA (bases 156-309)
Source: RNAcentral
AUUACCGAGUUUACAACUCCCAAACCCCUGUGAACAUACCUUAAUGUUGCCUCGGCGGAUCAGCCCGCGCCCCGUAAAACGGGACGGCCCGCCAGAGGACCCAAACUCUAAUGUUUCUUAUUGUAACUUCUGAGUAAAACAAACAAAUAAAUCAAAACUUUCAACAACGGAUCUCUUGGUUCUGGCAUCGAUGAAGAACGCAGCAAAAUGCGAUAAGUAAUGUGAAUUGCAGAAUUCAGUGAAUCAUCGAAUCUUUGAACGCACAUUGCGCCCGCUGGUAUUCCGGCGGGCAUGCCUGUUCGAGCGUCAUUUCAACCCUCAAGCCCCCGGGUUUGGUGUUGGGGAUCGGCUCUGCCUUCUGGCGGUGCCGCCCCCGAAAUACAUUGGCGGUCUCGCUGCAGCCUCCAUUGCGUAGUAGCUAACACCUCGCAACUGGAACGCGGCGCGGCCAUGCCGUAAAACCCCAACUUCUGAAUGUUGACCUCGGAUCAGGUAGGAAUACCCGCUGAACUUAAGCAUAUCAAUAA